UUCCAAAACUACCAGAUUCUCAGAUGGUUUCGAUUUGGAAUUGGUGCUGAGGUAAGUUAGAAAUAUACACAUAAAUAAGUACAUACUAAAAAACAGGUGGAGUAAUUGAUCACAUAUUGUCAUGUUUUGUCAUCUGUUUCGUUUACCUGUCUGUCCUGAAGUGAAUGUUAUUUUUCACAAAUUUUGAAUCUAGAUAUUUAGCUUCUUGUGUGUUACUAGCCACCUCAAAAUUUAUACAUAUCCCUCAUUAUUACAUUGAAAUUUAUGUGUAUCACUCACUCUUUGGUCCUUUAAAUUCUUGAUGCAGGUAAUUUUUAACAUUUAUCCCAUUUUUGGUCUAUUAGUAUUGAAGGUUUCCGGUUUUGCUGAACUUUUUCUAGACAUGGCUGCCAUAACAAUGUAAGUGCCUUUUAUUUUUUGCUAUAGCACUUUCUUUUGGAGUUUGUUGUAGUCUUUCUUUGUUCUAAAGCACGAUACUUUUUUGCAGGUCUUUCAUGGGUGCAAUGACCAAACUGAUAUCGGUAUACUCAUAUAUCACCAAUGAUUAUUCAAUAUAGGAUUAAGCCUUGUUUUUUAUUUUUUAUUCAAUAUCGAAAUAAAGGAGGCUUUUCUUAGCUGCUCAAGGUGGUGUUUUUGUAAAUGUUUACAUUGAUCAGUUUUGAUUUGAAGUACUAUUGUGGAAACUUCAAUAAUUGUUGGUAAGAAGGUUAUUGUAUUGCUGCGUGACGAUCCUCAGGUAUUGUUAACUUUUAGCAUCAUGUUUUAGUUUAUAUAACAUGAUUGUUCCACACAGCUUGGUUAUAUGAGUGAGAUUUUCUUUUCCUUUUUGUUACAUUUUUAGGUGAAUCCAUGUGUAGCUAUUUAUUGGGAACAAUAGCUCAAAGUUUGGUAUCAAGAAUAAGAAGCUAUCAUGGUUUCUAGAUGAGGAAGAUGAAGGCAUAUUCCAAAGGUAACUCUGAUUAUAGUUGUUUAAGUUGUGUUAGAUGUAUUCAGAUGAAUAGGGAUUGCUCUCUAAUCAUGUUUGCUUUUGUUUUGUCUCUUAAAUCACGACUCUUGAGCUCUACAUAUUUGUAGUAUGAUGUUUCUUGUUUAUUCCAGAUCGAGCAGAGAUGUUGCAGUCUUAUGGUGGAAAACAUUUGAUUAAAUCCGGCGUCACAACGUUAAGGUUACAGUGGUAGGAAGACCACAACUGUCACUUUACAACUUGGCUCCCUUCAAUUAACAAAUAUUUCAAAUUCGCUCCUUUCUUUUUACUU
Molecule: long non-coding RNA, 1256 nt
Filed under: Capsella grandiflora
Lineage: Eukaryota; Viridiplantae; Streptophyta; Magnoliopsida; Brassicales; Brassicaceae
Description: long non-coding RNA (CGRA_LNC000193)
Source: RNAcentral